UGGGGAAUUUUGGACAAUGGGGGAAACCCUGCUCCAGCCAUCCCGCGUGUGCGAUGAAGGCCUUCGGGUUGUAACGCACUUUUGGCAGGAAAGAAACGUCAUGGGUUAAUACCCCGUGAAACUGACGGUACCUGCAGAAUAAGCACCGGCUAACUACGUGCCAGCAGCCGCGGUAAUACGUAGGGUGCAAGCGUUAAUCGGAAUUACUGGGCGUAAAGCGUGCGCAGGCGGUUCGGAAAGAAAGAUGUUAAAUCCCAGAGCUCAACUUUGGAACUGCAUUUUUAACUACCGGGCUAGAGUGUGUCAGAGGGAGGUGGAAUUCCGCGUGUAGCAGUGAAAUGCGUAGAUAUGCGGAGGAACACCGAUGGCGAAGGCAGCCUCCUUGGAUAACACUGACGCUCAUGCACGAAAGCGUGGGGAGCAAACAGG
Molecule: ribosomal RNA, 429 nt
Filed under: Acidobacteriota bacterium
Lineage: Bacteria; Pseudomonadati; Acidobacteriota
Description: Acidobacteria bacterium partial 16S ribosomal RNA
Rfam family: Bacterial small subunit ribosomal RNA
Source: RNAcentral